GGCCGGCGGUGGGGGUUUCAAAGGGACUUCAUCCCUUUAAAUAGAGAUAGAGGGGGAGGAGUUGGACUCCUCCUCAGCAUCAUACAUCGACUCGAAUUGGGCAUCCAAUGAUAGAAGAACAACUAACAGGAUUUCUCUCUAUUUUUUAUAUUUUUUUGUCUUGAUGCUGCUUUAAGAUUCAUGCAGGCAGAUUUUGCUGG
RNAcentral lists this long non-coding RNA (200 nucleotides) under Elaeis guineensis (African oil palm). RNAcentral describes it as "long non-coding RNA (EGUI_LNC005240)". Lineage: Eukaryota; Viridiplantae; Streptophyta; Magnoliopsida; Arecales; Arecaceae. The record is from RNAcentral.